CACGUAGGGUGCGAGCGUUGUCCGGAAUUAUUGGGCGUAAAGAGCUCGUAGGCGGUGUGUCGCGUCGGCCGUGAAAACCUGCAGCUUAACUGUGGGCUUGCGGUCGAUACGGGCAUCACUGGAGUUCGGCAGGGGAGACUGGAAUUCCUGGUGUAGCGGUGAAAUGCGUAGAUAUCUGGAGGAAUACCGGUGGCGAAGGCGGCAUCCUGGACCAUAACUGACGCUGAGGCGCGAAAGCUAGGGGAGCAAACGGG
This 254-nucleotide ribosomal RNA is filed under the name uncultured bacterium. Its description in RNAcentral is "partial 16S ribosomal RNA". It matches the Rfam family "Bacterial small subunit ribosomal RNA", at positions 524 to 776 of the family's 1533-position model. The record is from RNAcentral.